GAUGAACGCUGGCGGCGUGCCUAAUACAUGCAAGUCGAGCGAACGGACGAGAAGCUUGCUUCUCUGAUGUUAGCGGCGGACGGGUGAGUAACACGUGGAUAACCUACCUAUAAGACUGGGAUAACUUCGGGAAACCGGAGCUAAUACCGGAUAAUAUUUUGAACCGCAUGGUUCAAAAGUGAAAGACGGUCUUGCUGUCACUUAUAGAUGGAUCCGCGCUGCAUUAGCUAGUUGGUAAGGUAACGGCUUACCAAGGCAACGAUGCAUAGCCGACCUGAGAGGGUGGUCGGCCACACUGGAACUGAGACACGGUCCAGACUCCUACGGGAGGCAGCAGUAGGGAAUCUUCCGCAAUGGGCGAAAGCCUGACGGAGCAACGCCGCGUGAGUGAUGAAGGUCUUCGGAUCGUAAAACUCUGUUAUUAGGGAAGAACAUAUGUGUAAGUAACUGUGCACAUCUUGACGGUACCUAAUCAGAAAGCCACGGCUAACUACG
Molecule: ribosomal RNA, 495 nt
Filed under: uncultured bacterium
Lineage: Bacteria
Description: partial 16S ribosomal RNA
Rfam family: Bacterial small subunit ribosomal RNA
Source: RNAcentral